CAUAAAGAGAGAAGAAGAUUAAGCGCAAAAUCUUAUAAAUUGUCUUCGUUUGGAUUGGAAGUAGCCUGUGCAGUGUGCAAUUAUUGAGCGAUGGAAAAAAAUCUUAAGAGAACUUCAAAGGAAAACUGUGAGGCUGGACCUUUGAAAAGCAAACGUGAAUACUCAAUGAUUGCGAAUGAUCGCAAUUGACGUGCAUCCGUUUAGUGUUGUCAAUGAUAGAGGAUUUCGUGAGUUGUUAGCAGAAAUGGACCCCCGCUACAAGUUACCAAGCAAAACCCAUUUCCGUAACGUAGCGAUUCCAAACGCAUAUGCAGAUUUGAAAACAAAACUUAAAUUUGCCUUGGAUUGCGUGGAAAAUGUGGCGAUCACAGCCGACGGAUGGACGUCCAUGGCAAAUGAGGGCUACUUAACCAUAACUUGCCAUUUUAUAAAUUCGGAAUUCCAGCUAAAUUCAGCCGUACUGUCCACAACGACUCUGAUAAACCAAACUAACCACACGGCUGCCAAUAUCGCAGAAUCGAUUCGAGUGGUUUUAGUAGAGUGGGGUCUAGUGGAGAAAGUUGUUUGCAUUGUGACAGACAAUGACGCUUCGAUGAAAAAGGCUUGUGAGCGUCUCGGAAUUACACAUUUCCCUUGUUUUGCCCAUACACUUAACUUGCUGAUUCAAGAUGUGCUAAAAAUAGACAUUCUUGAUCCAGUUUUGUCGAAAUGUAAAGCUAUUGUUACUUUUAUGAAACGCAGCCCUAUUGGAAUGGCAAAAUUUAAACAGGCACAGGAUGUUGAA
Drosophila obscura is the source of this 784-nucleotide long non-coding RNA. RefSeq lists it as uncharacterized. NCBI's taxonomy places the organism in Eukaryota, Metazoa, Arthropoda, Insecta, Diptera, Drosophilidae. The record is from RefSeq and is a predicted model, not a curated record. The transcript has 3 exons.